This 507-nucleotide ribosomal RNA is filed under the name uncultured bacterium. RNAcentral describes it as "partial 16S ribosomal RNA". The record is from RNAcentral.
GGAGUUAGCCGGUGCUUCUUCUGUGAGUGAUGUCCUUCCUGCCGGCUAUUAACCCGCAGGCCUUCUUCCUCACUGAAAGUGCUUUACAACCCGAAGGCCUUCUUCACACACGCGGCAUGGCUGGAUCAGGGUUGCCCCCAUUGUCCAAUAUUCCCCACUGCUGCCUCCCGUAGGAGUCUGGGCCGUGUCUCAGUCCCAGUGUGGCUGAUCAUCCUCUCAGACCAGCUACGGAUCGUCGCCUUGGUGAGCCGUUACCUCACCAACCAGCUAAUCCGACAUAGGCUCAUCCGAUAGCGCGAGGCCCGAAGGUCCCCCGCUUUCCCCCGUAGGGCGUAUGCGGUAUUAGCCUGGGUUUCCCCAGGUUAUCCCCCACUACCCGGGCAGAUUCCUAUGCAUUACUCACCCGUCCGCCGCUCGCCACCAGGGAGCAAGCUCCCCGUGCUGCCGCUCGACUUGCAUGUGUUAGGCCUGCCGCCAGCGUUCAAUCUGAACCAGAUCAAAUUCUGA